GAUGAAGAACGUAGUAAAAUGCGAUAAGUAAUGUGAAUUGCAGAAUUCAGUGAAUCAUCGAAUCUUUGAACGCACAUUGCGCCCGCCAGUAUUCUGGCGGGCAUGCCUGUUCGAGCGUCAUUUCAACCCUCAAGCACAGCUUGGUGUUGGGACUCGCGUUAAUUCGCGUUCCUCAAAUUGAUUGGCGGUCACGUCGAGCCUCCAUAGCGUAGUAGUAAAACCCUCGUUACUGGUAAUCGUCGCGGCCACGCCGUUAAACCCCAACUUCUGAAUGUUGACCUCGGAUCAGGUAGGAAUACCCGCUGAACUUAAGCAUAUCAAUAAGCGGAGGA
Molecule: unclassified non-coding RNA, 332 nt
Filed under: soil metagenome
Description: partial contains 5.8S ribosomal RNA, internal transcribed spacer 2, and large subunit ribosomal RNA
Rfam family: 5.8S ribosomal RNA (bases 1-120)
Source: RNAcentral